Non-coding RNA from Rattus norvegicus (Norway rat), 1543 nucleotides. The record is from RefSeq and is a predicted model, not a curated record. Lineage: Eukaryota; Metazoa; Chordata; Mammalia; Rodentia; Muridae.
GUGACAUCAUCAUUAGGCCCUCCAUUAAAAAUCUCUUGUAUCCUGGAGAGCCCUAGUUUCUUCUGUGAUGUCACAAGUGUUGUGACAUCAUCUGCCUCUUAGAUAUUCCAUCAGUACCUCUAGAGUUUACUAAUUGAUCUGUAAUUCAGAAUAAACAGCUAUUUGGGAGAGAAAAAAAGAAGAUGAAGAGAUCAGAGAUGGGGAGAAGGAACCUGGCCUUCUGUCUUGGUAUAAAAAAGAAGAAAUAUGUGGUCCAUGGUGCACCGAGCUCUUGGAGAAGUUGCUGAACAUCCUAAAGACUUUUGGGCAGAUGGAAAAGGGCUUGUCUGUCAAAUGCUUUUCAAUCGCCAAGAAGUUUGAGGUACCUGGAGAAUGCUUCCUCCUGUUCAUCCUCAUCCUGCUCUCAUUGCCUUUGUUAUCUGCACCAGUCCAUCUCUACACACCCCCAUGUACAUUUUUCUGAUGAACUUACGUAUCCUGAAAUUUGGUUACACUAGUUCUGUCAUACUCAAUAUAUGGAGAGACUUGAAAAUGAGAUCUGAGGAAUCUCUCAGGAGGGAUGUGCCACACAGACGUUUUUCUUCACACUUUUUGUAUAAUUGAGUGCUGCCUAUUGCCAGCCAUGGCCUUUGUCCACUGUAUGUCCCUGCUUCAUUCUGCAGCCCAAAUGAGUAGUGAGGUAUGUUCCCACAUGGCAAUUGUUUCACGGGGAAUAGGUUGCCUUGUAGGGUUGGGAAAAAACUACUUGAGAUCCAAAUCUAACCACACACAAGGAGUUGAAAAAUUAUUGGUCAUCUUCCAUACCACAGUGAUAUCCAUGCUGAACCCAUCAUCUUUGCUUAAAGUAUGAAGAAGUCAAGACAGGACUGAAAAGAACUCUGGGUAAUUAAGGAUCCCAAAGUGCUCUUUCAAAAAGGUGCAAAGUCUGUGAAAGAAAGAAAAAAAAAUAAUAACUGUGCUUUUUCUUGCUGUCUUGAAACAAACUUUAAGAAACAUACCUUUCUUUAAAGUGUUCUCUGUAUUCACCACCAUGCUUAAUUGCAAACAAUUGUAAAGUAUGCUUGCUACUAAAUUACUUUAGUAGAUUAAUCCAGUACUUAAGUGGUUUCCUCUGGACAGAGUUUAAACCACAUGUUAAUGUCUCAGGGUCUUGAAAAUUCUCUGUAUCCAUUCUUAGCUAUUUGGAAAUCUUUCAGAAAUUGUUUGUACAUGAUCUCAGCUCGUUAUGAUACAAUUCCAUAUUCCUCAGUACAUGUAAAUUCUUUGCAUUGGAUGGAACUGCUAAUUAGUUCUCAGGAGAGUGAAUUGUUAACCUCUGCUUUGUGUACCAUUUGAUCAGUCCAUACUUCAGUUCUGGUCACCCAGUGUCUAUUAUUUUGGAACAGGAGUAGUCUUUCCUCCACUUUUUGAUUUCUAAAAGGGCUGUGGAAAAGAAUUUCAGCCAGGUGAUUCUCAACAUCAAUAUCAUAGUUUCAGAUAAACACACACACACACGUACACACACACACACACACACACACACACACACAUGCACACACACACA